UCGUAGACCCGAAACCAGGUGAUCUACCCUUGGUCAGGUUGAAGUUCAGGUAACACUGAAUGGAGGACCGAACCGACUUACGUUGAAAAGUGAGCGGAUGAACUGAGGGUAGCGGAGAAAUUCCAAUCGAACCUGGAGAUAGCUGGUUCUCUCCGAAAUAGCUUUAGGGCUAGCCUCAAGUGAUGAUUAUUGGAGGUAGAGCACUGUUUGGACGAGGGGCCCCUCUCGGGUUACCGAAUUCAGACAAACUCCGAAUGCCAAUUAAUUUAACUUGGGAGUCAGAACAUGGGUGAUAAGGUCCGUGUUCGAAAGGGAAACAGCCCAGACCACCAGCUAAGGUCCCAAAAUAUAUGUUAAGUGGAAAAGGAUGUGGCGUUGCCCAGACAACUAGGAUGUUGGCUUAGAAGCAGCCAUCAUUUAAAGAGUGCGUAAUAGCUCACUAGUCGAGUGACACUGCGCCGAAAAUGUACCGGGGCUAAACAUAUUACCGAAGCUGUGGAUUGUCCUUUGGACAAUGGUAGGAGAGCGUUCUAAGGGCGUUGAAGCAUGAUCGUAAGGACAUGUGGAGCGCUUAGAAGUGAGAAUGCCGGUGUGAGUAGCGAAAGACGGGUGAGAAUCCCGUCCACCGAUUGACUAAGGUUUCCAGAGGAAGGCUCGUCCGCUCUGGGUUAGUCGGGUCCUAAGCUGAGGCCGACAGGCGUAGGCGAUGGAUAACAGGUUGAUAUUCCUGUACCACCUAUAAUCGUUUUAAUCGAUGGGGGGACGCAGUAGGAUAGGCGAAGCGUGCGAUUGGAUUGCACGUCUAAGCAGUAAGGCUGAGUAUUAGGCAAAUCCGGUACUCGUUAAGGCUGAGCUGUGAUGGGGAGAAGACAUUGUGUCUUCGAGUCGUUGAUUUCACACUGCCGAGAAAAGCCUCUAGAUAGAAAAUAGGUGCCCGUACCGCAAACCGACACAGGUAGUCAAGAUGAGAAUUCUAAGGUGAGCGAGCGAACUCUCGUUAAGGAACUCGGCAAAAUGACCCCGUAACUUCGGGAGAAGGGGUGCUCUUUAGGGUUAACGCCCAGAAGAGCCGCAGUGAAUAGGCCCAAGCGACUGUUUAUCAAAAACACAGGUCUCUGCUAAACCGUAAGGUGAUGUAUAGGGGCUGACGCCUGCCCGGUGCUGGAAGGUUAAGAGGAGUGGUUAGCUUCUGCGAAGCUACGAAUCGAAGCCCCAGUAAACGGCGGCCGUAACUAUAACGGUCCUAAGGUAGCGAAAUUCCUUGUCGGGUAAGUUCCGACCCGCACGAAAGGCGUAACGAUUUGGGCACUGUCUCAACGAGAGACUCGGUGAAAUCAUAGUACCUGUGAAGAUGCAGGUUACCCGCGACAGGACGGAAAGACCCCGUGGAGCUUUACUGUAGCCUGAUAUUGAAAUUCGGCACAGCUUGUACAGGAUAGGUAGGAGCCUUUGAAACGUGAGCGCUAGCUUACGUGGAGGCGCUGGUGGGAUACUACCCUAGCUGUGUUGGCUUUCUAACCCGCACCACUUAUCGUGGUGGGAGACAGUGUCAGGCGGGCAGUUUGACUGGGGCGGUCGCCUCCUAAAAGGUAACGGAGGCGCUCAAAGGUUCCCUCAGAAUGGUUGGAAAUCAUUCAUAGAGUGUAAAGGCAUAAGGGAGCUUGACUGCGAGACCUACAAGUCGAGCAGGGUCGAAAGACGGACUUAGUGAUCCGGUGGUUCCGCAUGGAAGGGCCAUCGCUCAACGGAUAAAAGCUACCCCGGGGAUAACAGGCUUAUCUCCCCCAAGAGUUCACAUCGACGGGGAGGUUUGGCACCUCGAUGUCGGCUCAUCGCAUCCUGGGGCUGUAGUCGGUCCCAAGGGUUGGGCUGUUCGCCCAUUAAAGCGGUACGCGAGCUGGGUUCAGAACGUCGUGAGACAGUUCGGUCCCUAUCCGUCGUGGGCGUAGGAAAUUUGAGAGGAGCUGUCCUUAGUACGAGAGGACCGGGAUGGACAUACCUCUGGUGUACCAGUUGUCGUGCCAACGGCAUAGCUGGGUAGCUAUGUGUGGACGGGAUAAGUGCUGAAAGCAUCUAAGCAUGAAGCCCCCCUCAAGAUGAGAUUUCCCAACUUCGGUUAUAAGAUCCCUCAAAGAUGAUGAGGUUAAUAGGUUCGAGGUGGAAGCAUGGUGACAUGUGGAGCUGACGAAUACUAAUCGAUCGAAGACUUAAUCAA
RNAcentral lists this ribosomal RNA (2215 nucleotides) under Staphylococcus aureus. RNAcentral's name for it is "partial 23S ribosomal RNA". It matches the Rfam family "Bacterial large subunit ribosomal RNA", at positions 707 to 2925 of the family's 2925-position model. The record is from RNAcentral. Lineage: Bacteria; Bacillati; Bacillota; Bacilli; Caryophanales; Staphylococcaceae. RNAcentral also lists the same sequence under 1 other name.